GAUGGACGCUGGCGGCGUGCCUAAUACAUGCAAGUCGAGCGAACGGACGAGAAGCUUGCUUCUCUGAUGUUAGCGGCGGACGGGUGAGUAACACGUGGAUAACCUACCUAUAAGACUGGGAUAACUUCGGGAAACCGGAGCUAAUACCGGAUAAUAUUUUGAACCGCAUGGUUCAAAAGUGAAAGACGAUCUUGCUGUCACUUAUAGAUGGAUCCGCGCUGCAUUAGCUAGUUGGUAAGGUAACGGCUUACCAAGGCAACGAUGCAUAGCCGACCUGAGAGGGUGAUCGGCCACACUGGGACUGAGACACGGUCCAGACUCCUACGGGAGGCAGCAGUAGGGAAUCUUCCGCAAUGGGCGAAAGCCUGACGGAGCAACGCCGCGUGAGUGAUGAAGGUCUUCGGAUCGUAAAACUCUGUUAUUAGGGAAGAACAUAUGUGUAAGUAACUGUGCACAUCUUGACGGUACCUAAUCAGAAAGCCACGGCUAACUACGUG
This 497-nucleotide ribosomal RNA is filed under the name uncultured bacterium. Its description in RNAcentral is "partial 16S ribosomal RNA". It matches the Rfam family "Bacterial small subunit ribosomal RNA", at positions 28 to 507 of the family's 1533-position model. The record is from RNAcentral.